This 402-nucleotide ribosomal RNA is filed under the name uncultured bacterium. RNAcentral's name for it is "partial 16S ribosomal RNA". It matches the Rfam family "Bacterial small subunit ribosomal RNA", at positions 355 to 774 of the family's 1533-position model. The record is from RNAcentral. RNAcentral also lists the same sequence under 1 other name.
UGGGGAAUAUUGCACAAUGGGGGAAACCCUGAUGCAGCGACGCCGCGUGAGCGAUGAAGUAUUUCGGUAUGUAAAGCUCUAUCAGCAGGGAAGAAAAUGACGGUACCUGACUAAGAAGCACCGGCUAAAUACGUGCCAGCAGCCGCGGUAAUACGUAUGGUGCAAGCGUUAUCCGGAUUUACUGGGUGUAAAGGGAGCGUAGACGGAGAGGCAAGUCUGAUGUGAAAACCCGGGGCUCAACCCCGGGACUGCAUUGGAAACUGUUUUUCUAGAGUGUCGGAGAGGUAAGUGGAAUUCCUAGUGUAGCGGUGAAAUGCGUAGAUAUUAGGAGGAACACCAGUGGCGAAGGCGGCUUACUGGACGAUGACUGACGUUGAGGCUCGAAAGCGUGGGGAGCAAACA